AUAUAGCUUGGCAGACAAAUGCAAUUGACUUAGAAUCAUCGUAUGAAAAAUUUUCAUCUAUAACCUACG
RNAcentral lists this transfer RNA (69 nucleotides) under Rhinodrilus brasiliensis. RNAcentral's name for it is "tRNA-Leu". The record is from RNAcentral. Lineage: Eukaryota; Metazoa; Annelida; Clitellata; Crassiclitellata; Glossoscolecidae.